Molecule: ribosomal RNA, 446 nt
Filed under: uncultured bacterium
Lineage: Bacteria
Description: partial 16S ribosomal RNA
Rfam family: Bacterial small subunit ribosomal RNA
Source: RNAcentral
CCUACGGGAGGCAGCAGUAGGGAAUUUUCGGCAAUGGGGGGAACCCUGACCGAGCAACGCCGCGUGAACGAAGAAGUUAUUCGUAAUGUAAAGUUCUUUUAACAGGGAAGAAAGAGAAAUUUGACGGUACCUGAAGAAUAAGCUCCGGCUAACUACGUGCCAGCAGCCGCGGUAAUACGUAGGGAGCGAGCGUUAUCCGGAAUUAUUGGGCGAAAAGGGUGCGUAGAUGGCAUAGUAAGUCUUUUGUAAAAAUGCUGGGCUCAACCCAGUAGGGCAAAAGAUACUGCAAAGCUAGAGUAUGAGAGAGGAAAGUGGAACUAGAGGGGGAGGAGUAAAAUGCGUAAAUAUAGAGAGGAACACGAGUGGCGAAGGCGGGUUGCUGGGUAGUAACUGACAUUGAGGCACGAAGGCGAGGGGAGCAAAAGGGAGUAGAUACCCGAGUAGUC